Molecule: non-coding RNA, 339 nt
Organism: Anguilla anguilla (European eel)
Lineage: Eukaryota; Metazoa; Chordata; Actinopteri; Anguilliformes; Anguillidae
Source: the annotation of a RefSeq genome assembly
AUGCAUUUUAUUCUGCAAUGUGACACAGUCCCCACCCUCACAGUCCUGCCCCCCUCCACUCUGGAGGUGAAGCAGGGGAAGGCCACACUGGUGUGCCUGGCCAACAAGGGCUUCCCGUCAGACUGGACUCUGCGUUGGAAAGUGGACGGUACCAGUAGGAGCUCGGGCGUGGCCGGGAGCGCCGGGGUCCUGGGGAAGGACGGCCUGUACAGCUGGAGCAGCUCCCUGACUCUCAGUGCGGACGACUGGAUGAAGGCGGGGUCACUGACCUGUGAGGCCACAAAGGGCUCCCAGGCUGCCCCCCCUCAGACACUGAGGAGAGCUGACUGUGCUGAGUAG